AUGUCGUUGGAGAGUUGCCGUUGUUGAAAUUGGGCGCACAUACUGCGUUCACAUCAGUGUUGUUUGAGCUGCAAGGUGGACGUUUCUCAGUUUUCAAGCGUCUCUGCUCGCAUUUCGCCACAAAGUGACAUGGAUAUCAAGUGGCUCGUCGCAGUAAUUUUCGUCUGCGUGACGUUGCCGCUAUUGGCAAGAGGUGCUCCGGACCGGUCAGGAUUGUCGUCAUGCGUUCGUCAAGCAGGGAGGGGGUUUUCAUCCAGAGACCGAAGGUGCGUCCAACGGCAGAUGCAGCUUGCCUACCAGAACGCCCCAAACGCAAGGUACGCCCACUGCAGAGCAAACUACAAUGCUGUCAUGACUUGCGGAGCUUCUGCAAGGCCACUGGCAGAGAACAUCAGCAACUGCCUCGAAAGCCGCAUGACUGAUCGGCAAAAGAGGACCUUUCGCCAAGCAGGACAAGUAGGACGAGGCGCCCGAAAUACUAGGGCUUGCGAUCGCUAUCAGAGACGGGGAGGAGGAAGAAGGGAGUAAAAGAAACGUCGAGAGCCAGCAAGCGACCGGCUUUCCAGCUUGGUGCUUUCGGCCUCAACGGCUCUCAGAGGUUUGCUGAUAGUCCAGAACGUCAGGGCGACAUUAAUUUGUGAUGCAAAACGCCUUUAACGAAGUAUUUUUGUCAGGAAUUAAAACGAUUGAUUUUC
Molecule: long non-coding RNA, 695 nt
Organism: Ornithodoros turicata
Lineage: Eukaryota; Metazoa; Arthropoda; Arachnida; Ixodida; Argasidae
Exons: 3
Source: RefSeq, a predicted model, not a curated record